This is a long non-coding RNA of Triticum dicoccoides, 2463 nucleotides long. RefSeq lists it as uncharacterized. NCBI's taxonomy places the organism in Eukaryota, Viridiplantae, Streptophyta, Magnoliopsida, Poales, Poaceae. The record is from RefSeq and is a predicted model, not a curated record. The transcript has 4 exons.
CCGGCACUGCCUCCCGAUCCUAUCUACAGCUGCAGCGCGCCGCCGGAGAUCUCCCCUCCCGUGGAUGGCGGCGCAGUCUACGGCGCUCAAGCGAGGGCAGGGACACAGGCAACGCGAAGGCAAUGGGGGGACGUAGGAGCUCGAGGGGCACAGCAAUGGACGCGGCGGGGCGGAUCCGGCGAGGAGGAGGCCGGAGUCGAGGCGGGCCACGCCAUGGGAGGAGGCCGGAGCUCGAGGGGCACGGUAAUGGGUGCGGCGGGGCGGAUCCGGCGAGGAGAGACCGGAGUGGAGGUGGGGGCACGCCAUGGGAGGCUAGCAAAGCUUCGGGCAGCACCAUCCAUAGUGGUUGCUACCUGUGGGAGAAGAGGAGGGAGAUUUUGAGAAAGAGAGAGAGACAGGAGUAAAGAGAGAGGGAAGGGAGAGGAAGGAGAGAUGGCCGGAGGCGUGGUCAAUGGUGAAGGUCCGGCGGCGCGCGGAGCGCGCUGCCCGCCGGUGGACACCCAAUUGUGCGUGAACCCGCCGAGGACUGACCUCGCCACCUCCGUGCCUCCCCCAGGAUCUCCGUCACUGCCUCAUGCUGCUGUGCACAAAGAUACUGCUGCCUCUCCCUGAUUCAAGGAUGACAGCGCCCAAACCUUUCCCUGAUGUUUGGGCAAAGGCGUGUAUGUCUGAUGUGCAGCAAAGCGACGAAACAAUGGUCGAUGGUUAUGUAUCUCGCGGGACUCGACGGUUACAGUUUCGGGAGCAGCACUGUUGCUUGCUAGCAUAUUUUUUUUCUUACAUAUAUGAACUGAUGAUGCUUUAUUUGGUGUUGUUUCCCAUGGCAGUACAUUUUGGCUUUGUUGACGAUGAUUUCUGCUAAUGUGCACACAGCUGAGGAAUAGACCCGGCAAGGAAGAGAGCUACACCAAUGUAGUCGGUGGAAUUAACAAGCAAAGUAAAUCCUGAAGCUCAUGGUUGUAACAAGAGGAAGUCGAUUUGUCAGUGGAAACAUAGCUGCAAGGAAGCGAUAUCUCAACUUUGACGUUACUUAAGCUUUUGGAUUUCAGAUUUAGUUGCCAUCACCAAACUGGUAUGCAAUUGAGUUGCACUUGAGCGCACAAGCUGAUUUCUAAAUAUCGCACAGUACUAUAGUUGUGCUCCACUAAAUAGCUUAUAUUUGAGCAGUCUUGCGGAAUAGUUACAGUGAAGAAAAAGCUUGCAAGAUUGAUUUGAUUUGCUGGUUUUUUGAGUGGCGCUACCCCUAUUAGGCUAAGUAGAAGCACUAUACGACGACUAAAGUACACCAGAUUACCUUCUCUGGUUUUGUAAUUUGUUGUUUGUUAUUUUUGGAAUUAUUUUGGGUACAAGGAAAGAAGUGCCAGAGAACUGCCAUUGUUUCGUGGUAAAAUUUACUAAUGUUGGUAUUUCUUUUCAAGAUUAUAUUAUUGUUUGCCCAUUUGGUCCUUGGAUGUUCUACUGAUUUUUUUUCUAUUCCUUGUGGAUAAUUUGCUUCGGAUCAUCAGACUACCUAGGGAAAUAUGCACAUUCUUUAUCUCACCCCCCCUCUUUAUCUAAAGAUAUAUUGGGCAUCAGUCCACCUGUCAUGAGAUCUCUGAAUUUUGGAGGCAUGUUGUAUUUUCUGAAUUUCUUGCAGAUAUUAUGCUUGGACUCACAAAUGCAUGUAAUGCUUCCACUAGAGGUUUGUUCUUCGUUUCUUCUAUGUUAUUCCUCUUUCAAGUUUUUGGUCCUUGAAAAGUAAUAGUACUUGCUAGGUUUUCUAGGUUCAUUUUUUGUGUGGUAGAAGCUGAAUGUAUAUGGCCUGAAUUUACAUAUCAGAGUGUAUGAGUUGAUUAAGGGUAUGGGAGAGAACAAUUGUCAUCCUCAAAUAACACGCGUCGUCACUAAGUUUCUUAUAUUUACCAAUUGAAACAUGUCACUAAGUUGCUACUGAUGUCACGGUGUCCAUAAUGCAGAACACAUAAUAAGUUAAAUCAAGCCAAUGAUUUUGUUCUUUUAGCCAAAGUCAGGUUCAGAGUUGUUCACACUGAAUUUUCUGGGCACAUCCAUAAGCAAGCUAGCACGUAUUAUUUAACUGAAGCAGAGGGCGGCUAAGCUAUGAAUGCUUCAUUCUUUGUUCUGAACAAAUGCAGCUACAACUUUAUAUUUUGAAGAACCGGCACCUGAGUGUGUUCUGUUUUUAUAGCCUGCAGAGUCUGGAGAGUAAAGCUUGUACAUUUUGUAAACCAUUUUGUUCCAGUUUCCCUUGGUAUACAAGUCUAUACUGUAUCGGGUUUUGCCAUUGCCGAUCAUGUACUUCUUUCUGUGCUAGACCGGUAUAAGUAUAUUUAGCUCAUGUACACAUGGCAUUUGGAUUGAACCAAAGAAUUUCAUGUUGAUGACUACAUAUAUACCUGAACAUGGUGGCUUGAACUUGGUUAUUAUUCUUGGACAUGAUGCUGGAAUAAUUCUUGAAGUUUCAUA